Molecule: long non-coding RNA, 793 nt
Organism: Mauremys reevesii (Reeves's turtle)
Lineage: Eukaryota; Metazoa; Chordata; Testudines; Geoemydidae
Exons: 3
Source: RefSeq, a predicted model, not a curated record
ACUUUGCAUCCACAUAAGACAGCCAUAAUCUACCCUCUGCCAGGCCAUGAAGGGGUUCAAGCACAGCUCAAAACUGUGCUGUGUUAGGCUGGGACAGCUGGACAAGGCAGUUGGGGAGAUGCUGUGAUUUAGUGAACCUCUUCAGCAGCCUUUACUGACUUAAGCUCAGAGAUCCAUGCCCAGUUGACCUUCAGGUUUGAUUACUGGAGUUUUCUGUACCUAAGAAUGCAACUGCCAAACGUACAGAAUCUACAACUGGCUGAGGAUACAGCAUGCCAUUUGCUCUUCAUAACAGCUCCGGGGCAGAAGAAGAGCUUUAGCACUGGAAGAAUUCUUGAAGAACAAGAAGCCUGGGAUGUUAUCUGCUGCUCCAAGUACACAAGCAGAGCCACUGUAUGAAACUCCCCUUCCUUGUAUCUUCAGCCUGCACUGACCUUGUUUUGUAAGCAAGUAGUACCCUUGAUCCGACUUCCCGGCCUUCGGUCCUACCAAACUGUAUAUAUAGACCACCUCUAGCCCUUCAUACGUAUUAGUUACUUCUUUUCUCUAUAGCAAGUAGACAGGGAGCACUGCUUAGAAGAGCUCUUAGCAAGGGCUGGAAGAAUAAAGGAUGAAAGACUGGAAAUCUCAUUCUCUUACAGAGAAUCAAUUCUGUCAGUACAGGUUGGAACUGGGGGAACUUCCACAGGGCAAUGAGGCAUAAGUGACAUACAAGAAGGGGAGAGGCAUUGAUUGGAGCAGAUGGAGAGAAAAUAAACCAUCAGCGAAAGGGAAAUGGGUCAGGGGAGACAAA